Molecule: ribosomal RNA, 468 nt
Filed under: uncultured bacterium
Lineage: Bacteria
Description: partial 16S ribosomal RNA
Rfam family: Bacterial small subunit ribosomal RNA
Source: RNAcentral
GACGAACGCUGGCGGCGUGCUUAACACAUGCAAGUCGAACGGAAAGGCCCUGCUUUUGUGGGGUGCUCGAGUGGCGAACGGGUGAGUAACACGUGAGUAACCUGCCCUUGACUUUGGGAUAACUUCAGGAAACUGGGGCUAAUACCGGAUAGGAGCUCCUGCUGCAUGGUGGGGGUUGGAAAGUUUCGGCGGUUGGGGAUGGACUCGCGGCUUAUCAGCUUGUUGGUGGGGUAGUGGCUUACCAAGGCUUUGACGGGUAGCCGGCAUGAGAGGGUGACCGGCCACCUUGGUACUGCGAUACGGCCCAGACUCCUACGGUAGGCAGCAGUGGGGAAUCUUGCACAAUGGGCGGAAGCCUGAUGCAGCAACGCCGCGUGCGUGAUGACGGCCUUCGGGUUGUAAACCGCUUUCGCCUGUGACGAAGCGUGAGUGACGGUAAUGGGUAAAGAAGCACCGGCUAACUACGUG